This 469-nucleotide ribosomal RNA is filed under the name [Eubacterium] infirmum. Its description in RNAcentral is "bacterial SSU rRNA". It matches the Rfam family "Bacterial small subunit ribosomal RNA", at positions 28 to 498 of the family's 1533-position model. Lineage: Bacteria; Bacillati; Bacillota; Clostridia; Peptostreptococcales; Anaerovoracaceae. The record is from RNAcentral.
GAUGAACGCUGGCGGCGUGCCUAACACAUGCAAGUCGAGCGAGAAGUAAAGAAAUGAAGCUUCGGUAGAUUUUCAUUAUGGAAAGCGGCGGACGGGUGAGUAACGCGUAGGCAACCUGCCCUGUACAGGGGGAUAGCCACCCGAAGAGGUGAUUAAUACCCCAUGAUGCAAGAGAUACACAUGUAUCACUUGUCAAAGAUUUAUCGGUAUGGGAUGGGCCUGCGUCUGAUUAGCUAGUUGGUAGGGUAACGGCUUACCAAGGCAACGAUCAGUAGCCGACCUGAGAGGGUGAUCGGCCACAUUGGAACUGAGACACGGUCCAAACUCCUACGGGAGGCAGCAGUGGGGAAUAUUGCACAAUGGGGGAAACCCUGAUGCAGCAACGCCGCGUGAAGGAAGAAGGCCUUCGGGUUGUAAAUUCUGUCCUAGGGGAAGAAACAAAUGACAUUACCUGGAGGAAGCCCGGUAA